Molecule: ribosomal RNA, 468 nt
Filed under: uncultured bacterium
Lineage: Bacteria
Description: partial 16S ribosomal RNA
Rfam family: Bacterial small subunit ribosomal RNA
Source: RNAcentral
GACGAACGCUGGCGGCGUGCUUAACACAUGCAAGUCGAACGGAAAGGCCCUGCUUUUGUGCGGUGCUCGGGUGGCGAACGGGUGAUUAACACGUGAGUACCCUGCCCUUGACUUUGGGGUAACUUCAGGUAACUUGGGCUCAUACCGGAUAGAAGCUCCUGCUGCGGGGUGGGCGUUGGAUAGUUGAGGCGGUUGGGGCUGGACGCGCGGCUUAUCAUCUUGUGUGUGGGGUAUUGGCUUACCAAGGCUUUGACGGGUUGCCGACAUGAGAGGGUGACCGGCGACAAUGGGACUGAGAUACGGACCAGAGGCGAACGGGAGGCAACAGUGGGAAAUAUUGCACAGUGGGGGGAAGCGUGAUACAGCAGCGUCGCGUGCGGGAAGAGGGCUUGCGGGGUGUAAAAAGCUUUCGCCUGAGACAAGGCGUGAGUGACGGUAAUGGAUAAAGAAGCACCGGCUAACUACGUG